RNAcentral lists this transfer RNA (73 nucleotides) under compost metagenome. RNAcentral's name for it is "tRNA-Ser". The record is from RNAcentral.
AGGAUGUAUAGCUUGGAGAUGCUUCGAAUUUCGAGCGUUCGAUUUAUCCGCGUACCGAUCGUCGACGUCCUCC